Molecule: ribosomal RNA, 503 nt
Filed under: Portunus pelagicus (sand crab)
Lineage: Eukaryota; Metazoa; Arthropoda; Malacostraca; Decapoda; Portunidae
Description: partial 16S ribosomal RNA
Rfam family: Bacterial large subunit ribosomal RNA
Source: RNAcentral
CCUGCUCACUGAUAAAAUUAUUAAAUAGCCGCGGUAUCUUGACCGUGCAAAGGUAGCAUAAUCAUUAGUUUUUUAAUUGGAAACUAGCAUGAAUGGUUGGACAAAGAAAAAGCUGUCUCUUUCAUUAAAAUUGAAUUUAACUUCUAAGUGAAAAGGCUUAGAUAUCUUAGAGGGACGAUAAGACCCUAUAAAGCUUUAUAAAUUCAAAGAUUUUAUAUAUUUUUUUUAAUAAUGAUAAUUUUUCAAAAAUUUAUUGGGUUGGGGCAACAGAAGUAUAAUUAUCAAUAACUGCUAUAAAGUAUUACAAUUAUUUUUGUUAUUAGAGAGUUGUUGAUCCUCGAAAGGGAUUAAAAGAUCAAGUUACUUUAGGGAUAACAGCGUAAUUUAUCUUGAGAGUUCUUAUCAAAGGAUAAGUUUGCGACCUCGAUGUUGAAUUAAAAUGUCUUUAUAGUGCAGCAGCUAUACAAGAAGGUCUGUUCGACCUUUAAUUUUUUACGUGAUCU